AAGUGGCUGUGGCCAGAGAGAGCAGGGCCCGAUACCUCUGGAGGUGUGUGUAUGAGCGCGAGAAAGUCCAUAGUCCGAUGGGAACCAGCACUCCUCCCGCAGUCUGUCCUCGCAGAAGUCAUGUGCUUCUGCCCAGCUCGCUCUGGUUUGUAAAAGCUGAUGCGAGUCCAUGCAGAUGACAGCGUGGUCCUGCAUUUGAUAAUUAGAUCGUAAAGUGUAACUCGUGAAUACAGCGACGUGUCCAUUUGGCUCAUUACUUGACUUCCUUUAGGGUGCAGUCGUUAAGUUACUUUUAUCCUUUAGUUAGGCAGAGAAGAUUCAUACCAGUUAUUACUUGCCAACCUCUUUGGUGUUGAAUGAAAAGCAAAAGCCUAGAAGAAAACAACCAGCUCUAACAGCCUGAACAUUGGGGUCAAACUUGAUUUGCUUUAUGCCCUUCAAAGAAGUUAGACACAGCUUAAACAAAAUGCAUAGGCAGCUAUCAAAAAACAAUAACAACAACAACAGACGUUUUUUGCUGUUGUGUGUUUAUUUCACACGACCCCCGAUUUGCUUUGAUGUCCGUUUCCUAGCGCGCGGCCCCAGAAUUUGUCCAGACCCAGUUAGAGAUCACACUCUUCGGAGAAGACCCACGAUUUGAAGGUUAUGGGUAACCGAACGACAGCGGGAGUUCCUAGCGGAUGUGAUUCUUGAUCGAGUCAGGGCACAUUCUGCCCUGUCACGUGUUGUAAAAACAUGGUGCAGAACGAAUCUGAGGGGCCAGGGGAAACCAGCCCUGUGCUGUCAACCCGUGCUGCCGUCCGUGAGCCUCCUCUCUUGAAGGAGGAAUUCCUGUGGGUAGUGACGGUCGUCAUGUUGUAUGAGUCACAAGACAGGCACUCGGACCCUUUAGGUCCCAGCACUGAGUGUCUGGGUUCAGCCAGUCUGAGUUGUAGAUUUGGCUCAGGGAUUCCCGGUGGCCAGAGCAAAACGGGGGGACACGCCAAGAUUCUCCUCAUCCACGAGGUGGGGACUGGCCAGUUGUGAAAAGCAGGCUUCUUGCGAAAGUUCAGGCAGGAAAGAUAAGGAGAUGGGGAUGUGAGCGACUUUCCUGUCCAGCCUGAGACGUGGCCUUCACGGCACUUCCUCCCCCCCCACCCCCCACUUUUGUAGCUUCUGAAUAGAGAUAGGACGUGUGACUCAGGUGGCAAAGGUCCGCAUCCCGGAUGCUCGGAUCAUCAGCACUUUGCUCCGGGAGGAUGCACUGAGCAGUGUUCUGGGGACACACGAGAGCAAAGAAUCCCCUUGGUUUGGGGGUGGGUUUGCCCGCACCGUCCUCUCAAGCCCUGCUCCUCGGCCGGUGCUCCGUCGGCUGUGUCCCAGGCGUCCGUACUCAUACAGAAACGUCCUGCCGACAGAGUGUUUUCUUCCUUGCUGAGGGACGGCUGUCCGCAGAGGUCCGCAGUCUGUGUUCCAUCCCCGGUCGUCGGUCUCAGAACCCGGUACCUUAUCAAACGACGUUUCUGGAGCAGUGUCCCAUUGCUUCGCCUGCCUCCCUGUCUGCCGUGAGGUUUCUCAGAUACCGCGGCUUCCUUGUCUUCCUGGGGUGCCAGAGGGAAGCUCAGAGCGGGAGCGGAGACUGGGCCACACGAGCGAAGCUUCCGCACGUCUGCCCAGUAAGCACCAUGCGGUGGUUUGGGCUCCUUCUGGUUCCUCUCGGGCUGCCGGGAGGUGCUCUGGCCUGUCAGAGCUGCUUCUUUUUGCCCUUCCCUUCCCCUCCCUCCUCUUCCCCUCCCUCCUCUUCCCUUCCCUCCCCUCCCCUUCCCUUCUCUAUUCUCGUUGCCUGGACCCGGUCUCUUGAGGCAGAGAAACCGGCCACGUGUCUUCGUUCUCUGAGGAAAGAGCCCUCUGACGAGGGCCCCCCUGCCAGUGAGUGUCGGCUGGGUGACGCUGGGGUGGGCACUCAGGGUCCCGUCGCACCUUAGGGAACGUGGGCUGCAGGGGCGGGUUAUUACAGACGUGCUGCUUUCACCAUGUAACUUGAGCAGGUGACAUCAGGGGGUGGUGGUUCCGGUAAAAGUUGACGAGCGCACGCGGCUUGCUGGAGAGGCCUGUGUGCUGAGCGGUUGGUGCCUCUCUGCUUAGUGCUUGUGUGCCAGCCGCUGACUUGUUCUUUGGUUCCAUCCCGCCACCCAAUAUAAACUUGUGGGUGUGUUUAUUUUCCUUAUCUGGGUGCUUUAUGUUUUUGUGUAUGUCUGUGUACUAAUAUUAUUUUUUAAAAUUUUUUUAAUGUUUAUUUUUGAGAGACAGACAGACAGACGGAGCAUGAGCAGGGGAGGGGCAGAGAGAGAGGGAGACAGAAUCUGAGGCGGGCUCCAGGCUCUGAGCUGUCCGUGCAGAGCCCGACGCGGGGCUCGAACCCACGAACCUUGAGAUCGUGACCUGAGCCGAAGUCAGACGCUUAACCUACUGAGCCACCCAGGCGCCCCUGUCCAUGUAUUAUUUUUUAAACAAAUUGGGUUCCUACUAAAUUAGAACUUAAAAAAAACAUUUUGUUAUAAUAAUAAUUUUAAAAAACAGUUCUUGAGAACGUAGAGUGACUGGUAAAAUGAACUCUGUCUCCUUAUCACCCAGGGUUAACAACUGUCAGCUUUUCAUGAUUCUUUUCCUAUGGGCGGUGGGGGGCAGUGGCAGGAAGGGGGCCGGAUGGUUGGAGGGGGCGGGAAGGAGGGGGAGGAGAGAGAAGGAGGGGGAGGAGAGAGAGGGCAGUCGGUAUUUUAAAGCACAUUUCAGGCAUCAUACCAUUUCACUCCAGGACUUUGUUCUCUUUGUUAUUCAAUGAUGUACUUUUUGUGUGUUGACUGUUCUUCCUCUUGUUACUGGAAAAACUCUUGGACUCUGUCCUGGUGAUAUUGUAACAGUGUGCCCUUGUGGACACAUUGUCCUUUGCACAGCGCUUGAAGGGCAGGUGGCCAGGGACCCUGAGGGGCACGGCGUGCGGCUGUGAAGCUCACGGUCCAGUUACUAGGAGAACCCAGAGGUGUAACCGCGGCCUCCCUAGCUUGUGGGGUCAGGUGGAAGGCUAGACCUACACUGAUGUUGUGUUUACAAGGAGUAGAUCCAGAUCUAAGUCAUAAAGAUCUGUGUCAUUUAUCAAUGUCAAACGGCAGUGAUAGCCUUGAAUAAUAAGCCUCUCUAAAGGAGUGUGGCAAGAUCUUGUCUUAUUUCUGGAGUUCCCUGGGCAGAAAGCUUUGGACAUUACAGUUUAGUCCUUUAUAGAUUAAUCUGCUGUGCUGUGAGCACUCUGACAGUCUCUCUGUGCUGUGCUUUCCUGGGUUUGGAAAGCUCCCCUUUGGUCUGUCAUACGCCUGCCCCGCCUGCCCCGCCGUAGCCCCGAGCGAGGACAGGCGUUGAACUCCCCCCAGGGAAGUGCAGGUGGCCGGUGACUUGACUUCAGUUCUCGUGUCCCCCAGCUCGGAAGCCUUUCUGCUUCAGAUGGUGUCGAGGGAGCCUGUUGUGAACUGGAAGCAUACCUUCACUUGAACAUGGCUGUGUCACAUGUUUGGGGCAUUCUCAGCACCCCGAGCGAGAUCCUGCAGAUGCCUGGGGAGGACCGCACCCCCUUUGACGUUCUGGUCCGUGACAGGGCUGGGGCCGCGAGCACACCCCUUUCUGGAGUUGAUUCCCAACAUUACUGUCUCUCCCCUGUGACCUUGCCGGUCCCCCAUGACCUCUCUCCAUUGGCAGACCAAACCCUGAUGAUGACCUCUGCCCCCUGUACCUUCGUGCUCAGGUUACUUUGGAGACGGUGGAGAUCAUUUGAGCCUAAAAUGUCUGAAAUUUUCCCUGAGAACUACAGAUCUUGGAUCCAGUAGAGAAGUCUGGACAUUUCUCCCCACCCAGAGGGAGUUGGUGCAAACAUCAGAUUUCCCAGUUCCUUUUAAAACGUCUAGACGUGAGCAUUCUAUUGGCUGAGGUUCCCUGUGGGAGUAAAGUGAUUCUUCAGUGUUUAUGCUUUAUUCGGGAAAUUUUUAUAGUCACAAUAUCAAAAUUUGUGUAUGUUGCUUCUUACAAAGAUACUUGCUUUUAUUUCGUCAGUUAAAACUGGUCUCCGGCUGAAGCAUCUUUCCUGCUGCAGGGGUAUUGUGUAAAACCUGGUUUGUGCACUUGAUUUAGGGGCGUUACACCUAUUUGGAGUGCCAGACAGUUGAGUAAGAAUUGAACAUAAUUUCAGUGCAGCUAUUUUAGCAGUUGUUUAUUAUUCAAGGAGUUCUUUACAGAAAGUAGGUUAAUCUCAUUUUUUAAUAUGAAGUUGCUUUGAAAUAAGGGAAAGCCAGCUAAAAUAGGGGGGACCGUGUGUUGUGGAAUAUGUUGCACUGUUUCACAAAUUUUUAAUGUUUAUUUAUUUUUGAGAAACAGAGAGAGAGUGUGAGCGGGGCAGGGGCAGAGAGAGAGGGAGACACGGAAACCGAAGCAGGCUCUAGGCUCCGAGCUGUCAGCACAGAGCCCAUCGCGGGGCUCGACCCCACGAACCAUGAGAUCUGACCUGAGCCGAAGUCGACCGCUUAACCGGCUGAGCCACCCAGGCGCCCCUAGGCAGAGCUAAAUUAGUCAAAAUGGUUGGUUAUUGGACCAAAUGUUUUCAAACCAAAGUUCUGGUUUUAACAUGUAAAUAAAACACGGGCCUAUAAUUAGUGCAUUAACCGAUAUGCAAAUGGUACAGCCAGAUAAUUAGGAAACUGCUUAGAAGCAGUUUCAUUUGCAAAACAAAAAGCUUCCUACAAAGUCUAAUGCGAUAUAGGGCUUGUUAGAGAUUUUGUGUUUUGUGGGCACAGCUAGACGGAGUUUGCCCCGCACGCCGAAGGGGCUACAAAAGGACAGUCUGCUCUUGGGCCUGGGCCUUUGGACCUAGCCGAGACCCCAGGGGGCUUCCAUGGGGGAGAGCUGGUGUGGCUGUGGGUGGGGGCGGGGAGGUCGAGACCACAGAGAGCCCUUCAGUCGGGUCUGGUGUGCCCGCCGCAAAGCUGCCCACGGCCUGGUCUCAGCUGUGCCAAGUCCUCGCCGCGUGACCUUGGGCAAAACACUUGGACGACUGCAGUUUGUAAACUUUGAAGAUUCAACUAGAAUGCGAUUUUCAAAUUCAGGGGCUUGAAUUCCCCCCAGAGAGGAGGUGUGAAGGAACGUGAUAAACAGGUGACUUCUUGAAGACACGGGCAAAGAUGAUCGUUUUUGUGUGAAUUUAGCCAUGACUACAGUAGAGGGCAAAACACAACGUUGGCGCGUAGGCCUAAGGUAAACCGGAAGCAUCGAUUAUUGUCCCUCUUACCGUGGAGGCUCGCAGGCCUGUCUGUGCACCUGUGCUCUGGGCCGGCUGUUUUCUGGCUGCGUUCACCCCCUGCCCGUGGGAGUGCCGGGAGAGGUGUUCAGGAUGCUGGCUGACAUCCUCACCAGUUGCCGGAUAAUUCCUGAACUCUUUCCCUCCUCGUGGGUACCGCCCCCUGCGUCAGAACGGAUCCUGGACCCGUUUCCAUGCCAGAAACACGGUGCUUCUCCUGGUUUGGCUGCAGCUGCGCGCCACGCGACCCGCUAAUUCCUAGACUCCUUUGUGUCAUUCGUUCUGGGCUCUGUCACUCGAGUGCCUGCUCCGCGCCGGGGACAGCUGUGGACCGGUCCCAAGUAAAUUCUCCGUGCUGUCAUGUUUAACUUCAGUAAGCAGCAUUUUGAGUGGAUGCUACAUUCACGUGGCUCUGCGUUCACGUGGUGGGAGAGGACACACAGGAGCCGGUGUGACUGCCACGCUUGCUGCCCCGGUCCCCUGCCUGGGCUCGGCCCGCACUGCCUGUUUGGAAGCCUUCGAGCGGGAUUUUAUGCGUGUGUUUAGAACACAAGUCCGCGUCUCCUCCCGUCUUUUACACAGACCGCACGACGCGCUGCGUGUAAAUCUCUCCCCUCGCUUUUGUCGCGUAACAGUCAGAUUUGCAUUUUCUUAGAGUCCCGAAGGAUGCUCCUCACAGCGUUGGCCCGGGUCGUGCAGAGGCUGGGGCCCAGGAGGCCCGUCCUGCCCGCGCUUCCGUGUGAGGAGGACGUGUUGCUCCUGGAGGAAGCAGGAGGAGGUCGUGUAAGGUAACUGAGUCACACGAUCACAUGCGGGUCAGACCUUGGCUUCUUCUAGUCGCCCUUCAGGACUAGGGAGCUGGGGGCCGCGGGCGGGAGAGGGCCGCUCGGAAAGAAGCGCAGGCCUGUCUGGUCGCCUUUGCCAAAGCGCCGGAGGGAAGUGAAGCUGCGUGGCCCCCCCCGCCGACAGUGUGUCCCCUGAUGUGACCCCACGGUUGCAGAUGGGACGUGUGCUCAGGAACCGUCAGAGGCAGGGGGCGGCCCCGAGCCGCCUGUGAGGAGCUCAGGCUCUGCGGGGAAACCUGCCCUUGACCCCCCGCUGGGGAGCAGGGGCGGGCCCGGUGGGCCUGCUGACCGGGGCUCGGAGCGGAGGCGGCCGGGCCCUGUGUUCACAGGCCCUGCGACGGGACCCGAGAGGGUGCUCCUGAGGUGCGCGGACAGAAGGGAGAGUUUGUCAAAGAGAUCAAGGCUUGUGCUCACGUGCACCUCAUUUUAAGGAACUUCGCUUUUGGUGAGUGUGUCUGUAACAAGCUUUGGUUCUAGUAAACUCUGAGCGGCGUUGGCUGUUCUCGUCUCCCUCCCUCCUUGCCACGAGGGAGAGCGGGAAGUGAGAAGGCAAGCAACAGACCUGCCCUCUCACGUGCGGAGCAGAAGUGUGCUAAGAAAAGACCGUGGAUUGAUUAUUUAUUUAUUCAGAGAGAGCGGGCAAACGGGGCAGAGAGAGGGGGAGAGAGAGAAUCCCAAGCAGGCUCCGUACUCUCAGCGUGGAGCCUGACAUGGGGCUCGACCCCAUGAACCGUGAGAUCAUGACCUGGGCUGAAACCAAGAGUCGGACGCAUAACCGACUGAGCCACCCAGGCACCCUAAGACCUAGAUUCUUUUUUAAAUUUACAUCCAAGUGGGUUAACAUAUAGUGUAAUAAUGAUUUUAGGAGUAGAAUUUAGUGAUUCAUCACUUACGUAUAACACCCAGUGUUCAUCCCAGCCAGUGCCCCUCCUUAAUGCCCCUGGCCCAUUUAGCCCAUGCCCCUUCCCACAACUCCUUCAGCAACCCUGUUUGUUCUCUGUAUUUAAGAGUCUCUUAGGUUUUGUCCCCCUCCCUGUUUUUAUAUUAUUUUUGCUUCCCUUCCCUUGUGUUCAUCUGUUUUGUGUCUUAAAGCCCUCAUAUGAGUGAAGUCAUGAUAUUUGUCUUUCUUGGACUAAUUUUGCUUAGCAUAACACACUCUAGUUCCAUCCACGUAGUUGCAAAUGGCAAGAUUUCAUUCUUUUUGAUGCCAAGUAAUACUCCAUUGUGUAUAUAUAUCACAUCUUCUUUAUCCAGUCAUCCAUCGAUGGACAUUUGGGCUCUUUCCAUACUUUGGCUGUUGUUGAUAGUGCUGCUAUAAACAUGGGGGUGCAUGUGUCCCUUCGAAACAGCACACCUGUAUCCCUUGGAUAAAUACCUAGUAGUGCAAUUGCUGGGUCGUAGGGUAGUUCUAUUUUUAGUUUUUUGAGGACCCUCCAUACUGUUUUCCAGAGGGGCUGCACCAGCUUGCAUUCCCACCAGCAAUGCAAAAGAGGUCCUCUCUCUCCGCAUCCUCGCCAACAUCUGUUGUUGCCUGAGUUGUUAAUGUGAACCAUUCUGAUAGGUAUCAGGUGGUAUCUCAUUGUGGUUUUGAUUUGUAUUUCCCUGAUGAUGAGUGAUGUGGAGCAUUUUUUCAUGUGCCGGUUGGCCAUCUGGAUGUCUUUGGAAGUUUCUAUACAUGUCUUCUGCCCACUUUGUAACUGGAUUGUUUUUCGGGUGUUGAAUUUGGUAAGUUCUUUAUAGAUUUUGGAUACUAUAACCCUUUAUCUGAUCUGCCAUUUGCAAAUCCCUUCUCCCAUUCUGUCAGUUGCCUUUGGUUUUGCUGAUUGUUUCCUUCGCUGUGCAGAAGCUUUUUAUCUUGAUGAGGUCCCAGUAGUUGAUUUUUGCUUUUGUUUCCCUUGCCUAUGGAGACGUGUUGAGUAAGAAGUUGCUGCGGCAAGGUCAAAGAGGUUUUGCCUGCUUUCUCCUAGAGGAUGUUGAUGGCUUCCUGUCUUACAUUGAGGGCUUUCAUCCAUUUUGAGUUUAUUUUUGUGUAUGGGGUAAGAAAGUGGUCCGGGGUCAUUUUUCUGCAUGUCGCUGUCCAGUUUUGCCAGCACCACUUACUGAAGAGAUGGUCUUUAUUCCAUUGGAUAUUCUUUCCUGCUUUGUCAAAGAUUAGUUGGCCGUACGUUUGUGGGUCCAUUGCUGGGUUCUGUAUUCUGUUCCACUGACCUGUGUGUCUGUUUUUGUGCCAGUACCGUAUUGUCUUGAUGACUACAGCUUUGUAAUACAUCUUGAAGUCUGGGAUUGUAAUGCCUUCAGCUUUAGUUUUCUUUUUCAGGAUUGUCUUGGCUAUUUGGGGUCUUUUCUGGUUCCGUACAAACUUUAGGAUUGUUUGUUUUAGCUCUGUGAAGAAUGCUGGUGUUAUUUUGAUAGGGAUUGCACUGGAUAUACAAAUUUCUUUGGGUAGUUUCGACAUUUUAACAAUUUUUGUUCUUCUUAUCCAUGAGCUUUCUAUAGUUUUCAGUGUACAGAUUUUUCACAUCUUUGGUUAGGUUUAUUCUUAGGUAUUAUAUGGUUUUUUUUUUUUUAAUUUUUUUUUUUUUUUUCAACGUUUAUUUAUUUUGGGGACAGAGAGAGACAGAGCAUGAACGGGGGAGGGGCAGAGAGAGAGGGAGACACAGAAUCGGAAACAGGCUCCAGGCUCCGAGCCAUCAGCCCAGAGCCCGACGCGGGGCUCGAACUCCCGGACCGCGAGAUCGUGACCUGGCUGAAGUCGGACGCUUAACCGACUGCGCCACCCAGGCGCCCCGGUAUUAUAUGGUUUUUGGUGCAAUUGUGAAUGAGAUCAAUUCCUUGAUUUCUCUUUCUGCUGCUUCAUUACUGGUGUAUAGAAAUGCAACUGAUUUCUGUCCAUUGAUUUCACAUCCUGCAACUUUGCUGAAUUCAUGGGUCAGCUCUAGCAGUUUUUUGGUGGAGUCUUUUGGGUUUUCCGCCUGAAGUAUCAUGUUGUCUGUGAAGAGUGAAAGUUUGACUUCCUCCUGGGCAAUUUGGAUGCCUUUUAUUUCUUUGUGUUGUCUGAUUGCCAAGGUAAGAUUCCCAAUACUAUGUUGAAUAACAGUGGCGAGAGUGGACGUCCCUGUCUUGUUCCUGACCUUAGGGGGAAAGCUCUCAGUUUUUCCGCAUUGAGGAUGAUAUCAGCAUUGGGUCACUCAUACACGGCUUUUAUGAACUCGAGGUAUGCUCCUUCUAUCCCUGCCUUCUUGAGGGUUUUUAUUAAGAAAGGAUGCUGUAUUUUGUCAAAUUCUUUCUCUGCAUCUAUUGAGAGGAUCGUGUGGGUAAGACCUUGGAUUCUUGAUCCUGCUCACUUCUCGGCUUCAGCUGCCCUCUGAACAUUCAGUGCUUUUCAGAGCGAUUUAGAGGUCACUGGGGUCCCUGAUCCUUGACCCGGCCUGGCGGCCAUGGCAUCAGUCUUUCUCAGACCGGUUUGCACAGAGAACACACGUAUUGCUCUGAUACUUUUGCAAUUAGCAGAAGUGUCUCCCCCUGUAGGGGAUCCCAGCUGACAGGGGAGGUGACCUUACCUGGGGGAAUGAGUGUGCCCUGCAGCAGGGAUUGGGCUCUUGUGUUUCUGGGCUCUUCCAGCAAUGCUAUUCUCCCAUCCAAGGGUGAGCUGCCAGUGAGAGUGGGGUGCUGCUGGCUCCGGCCUUCCUACCUCCCACCUUUCCAGCUCCCACCGUGACCCAGGACAACCUUUCUUCUCGGACCUCAGGUUUCCUACCUUAAGUCCUGGUGCUUAUUUUGCAGAAAAACAGUAGCUUCUUGAAAAAGUAAUAAUAGCAAGUGCUUUACCUAAAUUUUCUCAUUUCGUCCUCUUAACAACUGUAUAAUAACAAACAGCCCAUGGCAACUUCACAGGUAGUUUCAUCUUCGUUGUUCAGCCGAGGAAAGCAGGGAAGUUAAAAACCUUGCCCUUGGUCACGUGGCAGAAACUGGUGGAAGGGGCAUGAGAACACACAUCCAUCUACCUGAUUCCAAAAUUUGCGUUCUUUGUCUGACCUUUGCCAUAGCAAUGGCUUUCAUUUAUGGAGGCCUUACUGUGGGCCAGAACCACUGCUUAUGGAAACAACUCUGUGAGGUUCCCAGCUUCGUUAAGGGUCCGCGUCAGCAUUACCGGUAAUGAGACGGGACAUCGCCUUCCCCGUCAUACAAUGCCCUGAAUAGGACACGAGGUAUUCUUGCCAGAAUGCACAACCUCAGUCUAGAGGGAACAGCCUUGAAACCCAAAUUGAGAGACACCCCACGGAAGAACUAUAGUCCCUCAGCGGUGUCAAGGCCACGAAGCACAAGAAAAGAUCAGGGAUGGCCACACAUUGGGGGAGACCGAGGAGGGCGGGAUGACUGCAUGGUGGUGGGAACAGAGAGGACAUUGGAGGGACCCUGGCAAGACUCAGAGAAGAUCGGUCGCUUAGUUGAUGACCCAACGAUGUCAGUCUCCUGGUUUUGGUAACUGCACUAAGGUUAUCCAAGUUAACAAGGCAGAGCUGGGCAAAGGGCAUUCCUCAGUUUUCUGUAAUAUUAUUGCAGCUUUUCUGCAAAUUUGAAAUUACUUCAAAAUGAAAGGCCAAAAAAAAUUUUUUUUUAACCACCUCAGAUCGAUAUUAUUUAUGAUAUUAUUUAUCCUCAUUUAAGAGAUGACGAAACGAGCUUGGACGUUGGGGUGACUCACCCCAGAUCACACACAUGGCGGUCGUUGUUCGUGACGGAAGGAGAGAGGAUUCGAACCCAAUCUUGGAAAUUGCAGAGCCCACUUGAACCCCUAGGCCUGUGGCUGCCUCGUGUUCAAGUGUGUGUGCUCCAGAAACAGCAGCCCUGACCAGACUGUGCUCCAGUUACACAGGCUUUAUAUUGACAGAAAGAGUGCCUUUGCGCCUGUUGGGAAAAGCAGUGCAUGUUAAUAAUAUAAAAUUUUAUAUAUAUAUAUUAUAUGUAUAUAUAUAUUAUAUACAUAUAAUAUAUAAUAUAUUUAUAAUAUGUAAAUAUUUAUAUUUAUAUAAUUUGUUCAUUUAUAUAUAUUUAUAUGUAAUAUAGUAUAUAAAUAUAUAAUAUAUAUAAUAUAUAUAUUGGACAUAUAUAUAUUGGAUAUAUAAAUAUAUAAUAUAUAAUAUAUAUAUAUAAUAUAUAUAUACAUAUAUAUUAUAUAUAUAGUGUGUGUGUGUGUGUGUGUGUGUGUGUGUGAGAAGCAGUAUUAAGAGAACUUUGUAUUUAAGGCAAUUAAAAGGAAUCACUGAAAUAGUCCAAGUCAAAGUUACAUAGAUGUUUACCAAGGAAAAGGGAAACUAUUCAUUAUAAAGCUGUUGAAAUGGUUUUCACAUCAUUUCUACAUCCUGCAUCUCCAAACUGCAAAUACCCAGUUUCUGUCUCUUCUUGCCGCCCUCUCAAACUUUUCCCUAUAAAUACGGGACGCCUGGGUGGCUCAGUCGGUUGAGCGGCCGACUUCGGCUCAGGUCAUGAUCUCACGGUCUGUGAGUUCGAGCCCCGCAUCAGGCUGUGUGCUGACAGCUCAGAGCCUGGAGCCUGUUUCAGAUUCUGUGUCUCCCUCUCUGACCCUCCCCUGUUCAUGCUCUGUCUCUCUCUGUCUCAAAAAUAAAUAAACGUUAAAAAAAAGAAAAUUAAAAAAAAAUACGGGUGGCCCAGUUACACCAGUGAAGCUUAUAUUGUUUAAGUCACAAGAUACAAGAAGAGGAAGGGCAACUACGUGGCUCAGUCCGUUGAGUGUCGGACUCUUGGUUUCAACUCAGGUCAUGAUCUCACCGUCCGUGGGUUCGAGCCCUGUGUGAGGCCCUACAGUGACAGUGGGAGCCUGCUUGGGAUUCUUUUUCCUCUCUCUCUGCCCCUCCCCUACUUUGUUUUGCUUCAUUAAAAAAUUGAUAGUUUGAAAAUACAUGUUUGGAAAAAAAACAGCAUUGUUUCAAAACUUCAAUCAGAAGAUGAGAAUACAAGUUUGAAAGAAAAUCCCAGAUAAUUUUUUUUUAAGUUUAUUUAUUUUUGAGAGAGGCAAGGGAGCAUGAGUGGGGGAAGGGCAGAGAGAGAGAGAGAGAGAAUCCCAUGCAGGUUCUGCACUGCCAGCACAGAGCCUGACACGGGGCUCGAACUCAGGAACCCUGAGAUCAUGACCUGAGCCAAAACCAAGAGUUGGGACGUCUAACCAACUCAGCCACCCAGGUGCCCUGAUCCUGGAUAAAUUUUUAAAAUUCUGAUAAAAUAGAAUUGCAAUGGAAGUGUUUUUAAGCUUUAAAAGAAAAGAAUCAUUUGCUCUGUUCAUCUCAAAUAUGUAAGUGAUAAAUUCUGGAUAAUUCCUUGAUGUAAUAAUAGGAUUAAAACUGUUGUAUAAGAAUCUAACCUGAAAUCACUUUCUCAGCCUCCAUGGCCUGGCCUGUAAAAUAGGGGUACAGUAAACUUCCCCAAAAUAUUUGCUGAGAGAAUUAGAUAAUUUUAUAGCUUAUAAAGUACCUGCAAAUAAAAAAUGUAAGAUUCAUUUUUCUUUUUUUUUUUUCCCUAAAAAAUCCCUUCCUUCCUUCUAAGAACCCAUUAUACUUUGAGUGUAACUCCUGCGGAAGUUAAUAACCUUCUAAAGACUUAGACCUUUGCUGUUUUGAUUUCCACGUGUUAGGUGUCUCACAGAAGCAUAGAGGACAAGCUGCUAUUUGCUGAGGCCGCAUCAACCAGCGUGCCGUGGUGCCGUUUUUCAUAGCAUGUGAUUCCCGUGGCCCUGUGAUAGAGCUAGCAGGCCACAGCACGAAGCCCAGGGACAGGCCUAGGGGGUUUCGUGAGACCAGAACCCUUUCAGCGGCUGGUUUUGAGAGGAGCCAUAAGUGAGAUGUGUCUGCUGGGUUCAGUCUGUCAGUUCCCUGCGUCUCCUCUCCAAGUUGCUGGGAUUUUUGGUGUGAGUAGGGUGACAGGUGGAAUGCGUGUGUUGAGGAAGGCAUCCACCUUUCAUUAAAAAAAUUUUUAAUGUCUAUUUAUUUUUGAGAGAGAGAGAGAGAGAAAGAGAGCGUGCGCACUAGCGGGGGAGGGGCAGAGAGAGAGGGAGACACAGAAUCUGAAUCAGGCUCCAGGCUCUGAGCUGUCAGCACAGAGCCCGACGCGGGGCUCGAACUCACGAACUGUGAGACCAUGACCUGAGCCGAAGCCCAACACUUGACCGACCGAGCUACCCAGCUGCCCUGGGCAUCCACCUUUAAAACAGCUAUUUAGGGGCACCUGGGUGGCUCAGUCAGUUAUCUGAGGUCACGAUCUCAAGGUUUGUGAGUUCGAGCCCCGCGUCGGGCUCGUAGCUGUCCAUACAAAGCCCACUUCGGAUCCCCUGUCCCCCUCUCCCUGCCCGUCCCCUGCUUGAGCGCUCUCAAAAAUAAAUAAAACCUUAAAAAAAUAAUAAAGAAAACAGAUAUUCUUUUUUAUAGCCUUUUACUUAUUAGAAGAAUAAUGGGUACUCGUGAUACUACGUUUUGAGCUCUGAGAAGAUAUGCAGAAUCAUUAAGUCACCGGGGGUAACUGUCAUCAGUUUGGUAUGUGGACCUAAACUCUGAUUUUCUGUGCGUGUGUAUCUGUCUGUAUGAUGCAGAUAUCACAAAACUGUGAUCCUGCCAUACAUGUACUGUACUUGCUUAAAAUUGGCAGUGUAGACCAUCCAGGUGUUUCUCCAUAUCCUGGAACAUUCUCCAAGAAGAUAGCGUGUAACGGUGUGGAAAUGCACAUAAGGGUGCUUACUAAUGCGCUCGGUCAGUUUCUUGUUGUUCACGGGGCCUCUUUUCCCCAGAGACAGGCUGGUGCCAUCUGAAACCCACAGCUCAAAACCAACUAAAUAUAAUCUCAGCCCUGAACUCCUAAGCUUCCUACCGUGUAAACGUUGCCUAAUACAAAGGUAGGUGUACAUAUACCUAACAGAAUCUAACAAUCUGAUUUUAUCUGCUACUUUUACCCUCGGGGGACCAGAGUAUUUAAAAACAGGAGGUUUGUCAUCUACCCUUGUGCGGCUCGACUCUGGGAUGGGAUGGGGGGCCUGCCGGGGGCCGGGACCAGGGCUGCUUGGUUUUGUUCACUUUCCUUCUGGCCACAGCCGCCACUGCCAGCAAUGUUGGGUGGGUUUCUGAAGACACAGGGGACCGGGGGCCCCAGGAAGACGGGGCUGCAGGGAAGGAGCGGUCUAGGGCUGCCUGGCCUGGGCAGCUGUUCCCAGAUGACAUUUAUGUUUUAUUAUUUUUUUUUUAAUGUUGAUUUAGUUUUUGAGAAAGGGAGAGAGCAGGGGAGGGGCAGAGAAAGAGGGAGACAGAAAAUCCCAAGCAGGCUCCUCGCUUUCAGCUCAGAGCCCGAAUCAGGGCUCGAACCCACAAACCAUGAGAUCGUGGACCCAAGCUGAAACCAGGAAUCGGACGCUUAACCACCUGAGCCAUGCACGCACCCCUGGCAUUUAUAUUCUAAAAGAUAAACGUUAAUGCUAGACUUGAGAAUUCUUCAGCAGUGUUUUCUUCCCUCUUCUCUUUCUCCUUUUCCUCUCACACUCUUUGUAAUCUUUAUUUUUUUUGAAAGCACAGAGUGGUACAUGGUUACUGCCUAUAGAUCAUGUGUAAGCUGGUGACAUUUCCUCACGCACUCCCAGUUUCCACCCUGUUAUCCCGUUGCCUCUGUAUUGUACACAGUUGCAGACUUGGAAUGCUUACGCACACGUAUAUACAUGCAUACGGCAAAAUACCUGCAUUUUACAAUGAAAAUCGUGUGUGUUUCUGUAUCACAGCCUUGUUGGUAUCUGCAGAUAAUGCCUCAUUCUGUCAGAUGACUGCCUGAUGUUAUGUUGUGAGGAGGCACCGCAUUGACUUACCCAGAUCGCGACAAAGGAUGUCUAGGUGCUUCUGUGGUAUAAACAGGGCUGCAGUGAAUGUUCUUGAACGUCCAUCUUGACUCGUGAAUAUGUCUAUAAGGCAGAUUCUUAGAAAUGGAGUUUCUGGGACGUGAAGUAAGUUGUAGAUUUUGGUAAAUCAUGUCACAUUGCCUUACGUAAAGGCUAGGACAGUCUUAACUCCUUUCUGUCUAAUUAUUUCUGCUUGUGUUGAAUCUCACACACAUUAUUUGUGUUUAUCUCCUGUCCCACACUUUUGGUACCCUUCGUUCCAUUUAUCCCACCUGUCGCGUUCUCUGUGAGACCCUUCCCAGAUCUUCGGUUCUCACUGUCAGGGAUACACGGCACUUGAAGAAUGGAGGCUCAGUACGGUCAUGACGUCCAGAAACCAAAACCUUAGUCAUUUUGGAAAUGAUAAAGUCAGCCCCAAGUUCAGUGCGUUACUCUGCGUCUGUUGUGGAUACUGGUCUGAUGUUCCUUAAUGAUGGGUAAUAGCCAUCAGGUGGGAACUGCAGUAUUAAUUAGGAGGCGCGAUGUGCUGGAUAACUAGUAACCAUUAGUUCCGCCUAGUCAUUCAUUCAUUCAUCCAUCCAUCCAUCCAUCCAUCCAUCCAUCCAUCCAUCCAGCGAGUAUUUACUAAGAGACUGUGCUGUGUGAGAUGCCCCACUGGUCCCUGAACGGUUGAGACUUUCCUGCACGUAUGGGGUGCUUCUGAGUAAGAGUUUCUGACUAGGGCAUGAGUGUCCCCGAACACUGGGGGUCUCACGCCUGAGGGGAUUGGCUCUGAUGGUGGGCACGGGGUGGGGGGGGUGCAGAGCGCCUGCUCAGGGUCUGUGCCCGUGCGCUCGGCACCGUGGAGCACACUUCACAGAACUGAAGGAGGCGCACAGGAGGGGUAGGGAGGCAAAUAGGAGGCUUGGGGACAUUGUGACUUACUUCGGAGCGUGGUGUGUGUGUUCCUGUGGCUCGCAGGGUGCCCGGGACAGUGCUCACUGCUAGUACGUACUUCAUAAAUGUUUGGCUCUAUUUUGAUUAACCAAUUUGGCUUUUGGGGAUACGUAUAAUUUUUUAGUCCUUAGCGCUUCAGUGCUGGCUCUGUUUAUAUCCAGAAGAAAGGCUCGUUAGGGUUAUAAAUAGAAGCUGAAUUCGAGCUGUGUCCUCAGGGGAGUUGACGUGCCUGCCGCCCUGCCAAAGCGCUCUGGUAAUCUGCUCUCUGAGUGCUGAUCAACAGGUUCCUUUAGUGAGCAGGUGUCUGUGUAACACGUCCCGAGGUCGGUCUGGGCAAGCAGGACUUAUUUUAGGUCCAAGGGCCUUUUAUCACGCGUGUAGCUUGACCACGGUAGCCUAGGCGUGGAGCAUGCUCAAGGGGACGGUAUAGACACGCGUAUGGGACCGCCUGGGUUAUUUUAUGGUAAGAAUGCAGUUCUCAGAAACGAUCUGGAACGCUGUUGUGGGCCUUUCAAGGUGCUAAAUCGUACCCUCCUUAUUGAGAGAUCCUUUUCCCCCAGAGGUAGUGUGUGGUUGCCGUUCUUAAGUCAUUCUCCAGUUUUGAUCUUCGUGAUUGGUGUUUUGUUCUUCUACAGAUUAAACCCGUAUUUUCCCUCGCUCCUCGUUUCUCUUUUAAACUUGAAAUAACCCGUGACAUUUGGAAGUGAAAUUGUUUGAGCUCACCGUUUACAUCUUCAGAUCGUUUGACAAGAUUUUGCAAUGCUUUUCAUGAGCCAGGCCACCUCCUCAGGUUAUGAUAACGCAAUGUUCUCCUUGUACGUGAAACUGACGUGUGCGCAAGCGGCUCAGUUGUUAACGCGUACAGAAGUGUGAAGACGGAAAAGAAAACGUGAGCACUGCCUGACUUGGGCACUUAAAAAACACAGCUCAGUGGCCAGGCCCUGCUGGGUAAUGAUGAUGGGGGGCCCUGCUCAGGUGUGCCCGACUCUCUGGGACUGUUCAGCCGCCGCUGCAGACUGAUGAGCGGUCUGUCUGUGAAGAAUCCAGAAGCUCUCAUACUUCGGAGCUGUUGGGAAACACGAGUAAGCCCUCCUCUUUAGGCUGUACUACGCACCGUGGUACUCACACACACCUGAUCGAACUUACUACUGAGGACGAUCUCGGUAACUUUGAAAAACGUAAGGGCAGGGGCGCCUGGGUGGCUCAGUCGGUUAAGCGUCCGACUUCGGCUCAGGUCAUGAUCUCACAGUUUGCGAGUUCGAGCCCCGCGUCGGGCUCUGUGCUGACAGCUCGGAGGCUGGAGCCUGCUUCGGAUUCUGUGUCUCCCUCUCUCUCUCUCUCUGCCCCUUUCCUGCUCAUGCUGUGUCUCUCUCUGUCUCAAAAAUAAAUAAACAUUAAAAAAAAAAAGAAAAACGUAAGGGCUUAAUUUGAGGUGCAGAAGGAUGGUGUUUAUAAUUUGGAGGGAAAACCUGGGUAUUUUUUUACUUUAGUUCAUUGUGUAAAUAUGAAGAGGGAACUUUCCUUUGAGUACUUUUCUGGUUUGGAGAUUGUAGUCUUGACUCUGCAUUUUCUCUUUGCUUUGCCUGUGGCAAAGAGGGAAAAUGGAGAAGCCUCUCUGAACGUCCUUUUUUAGGCAUAGCAAUUGGACGGCCGAUUCCUUUUAUGUGUUUAAACAAGGAAGUGCUUAAGCCAGAACAGCUCAGUGUUUUCUUCUCCUACUAACGUAAGUCUAUCAGGAAGAAGGUGUAGGAUCAAAAGACAUGUUUUCCUGUCUGAGUAUCCUAGAUGUAUUUCUUUUCAAGAGAUCACUUGUUCUUUUUUUUUUUUUAAUUUUUUUUUCAACGUUUUUAUUUAUUUUUGGGACAGAGAGAGACAGAGCAUGAACGGGGGUGGGGCAGAGAGAGAGGGAGACACAGAAUCGGAAACAGGCUCCAGGCUCCGAGCCAUCAGCCCAGAGCCUGACGCGGGGCUCGAACUCACGGACCGCGAGAUCGUGACCUGGCUGAAGUCGGACGCUUAACCGACUGCGCCACCCAGGCGCCCCAAGAGAUCACUUAUUCUCUAAUGAAUUUUUUGAUGAUGUAGUUUAUGGAUUUAUUCUCUUCUUAUAGGUGGGAGCAAAUGAGUUUCAAAGAGAAUAAUCUGUUUAUUCUCCCACUGGGAAGAAUCUGGAUUUAAGACCUAUGCUCUCAGGGGCACCUGGGUGGCUCAGUCAGUUAAGCGUCCGACUUCAGCUCAGGUCAUGAUCUCAUGGUUCGUGGUUUCGAGUCCCAUGUCACGCUCUGUGCUGACAGCUUGGAGCCUGGAGCCUGCUUCAGAUUCUGUGUCUCCCUCCCCCCGCCUCUCUCUCUCUCUCUCAAAUAAAUGAACACUUAAAAAAAUAUAGUCAGCUGUCUUCCUUAGCCGCUAUUUCUUUUUUCACCAGUGGAACAGGUAUUUAUACCGAGUGCCUACGAUGUACGGAGCACUGUGCUAGCUCCCGGGGAUGCAGGAAUGAAAAAACACGACAGGGACCUUCCUUUGAGGAACUUGCAUCCCGGGAGGACACAGAGACGCUCAGUAAGUGAGAUGAUGUAGGUAAGAGGAUGGCCGCAGGACGGACGCUUGUCUGAAGAGGUGCCAUCAGAGUGAAGAAAUAGGGUGAAAGUGCCCCAGGCAGCAGUGACUGCUUGUUCAAAGGCCCUGCGGCAGUUGGCGACUAGAAGCAGACCGGGGUAAUUGAAGCAUGCGUAGUGUGCAGUGGCGGCUCUUGGCCAUGCGAAGGCAGGAAGGGUCUGGAAAGCUACGUAACAAUUAAGCGCGGGAAGCGUUGAAGGAUUUCCAGGCGGGGAACCGCCCUUGAAGAAGCUCUCCUGGGCGCCUGAUGGAGACCGCUUGGGGUGGGCGGGUUGAGGCCGGGGCCGCAGUUCAAACGAGAUGUGGUAUUGUGCCGCGGUGGUUGCGCGGAAAGAAGAAGGAAGCGGGUUCACGGUCCGCUGCCAGAAGCUGGAGGUGCUGGUUGUUGGUUUUGUUGUUGUUUGUUGUUUUGGUUUUAAUUAGGCUUCUUCCUCAUCUUUGGCAGGGCAAUGGCUGGAACUGUGUUUAACUGGUGAGAUUGGAUUUUUUUUUUUCCUCCCCAUUUGUUGGUUGGUUUUGUGUGCGUGUGUGUGUGUGUGUGUGUGUGUGUGUGUGUGUGUGACUGGCCUGCUUGUAAUCUUUGUUUAAAGUCUUUCCCUUUAACUGAUUUUUCGAUACUUCCUUGUAUUUGUGAUCUGCGACAGGUUAGAAAAACAUCUUGCCCGGUGUUUUCAUUUAUGAAGUAGUUUGACUGGUAUCUUUAUGGUUGUUUGUUUAAGGCUGUGGUUCCUACCCUUGGCCUGAUAUUUGUGUUUAUGGUAGAAACUUCAUGAAUACACGUGAAGCCGAGAGAACAGUUUACACGUGAUCCACUUUGAACUUACUUCACUCUACACUACAGAGUGAUAGAUGUUCGAAGCCAUUUGAGAGCAAAGAAUGUGUUUCAACAGAGAACAAGCUCAUGGUUGACGGAGGGAAGCAGGUGGGGGACGGACAGAUGGGUGAAGGGGAGAGGGAGACACUUCAGUGACGGGACGAGUCCGUCCUGGGGAUGAAGGGCUCGGCACAGGGAAUACAGUCACUGGUGCUGUGAUGGCGUCGAAUGGUGAGGACAGCAGCCACCCUUGUGGUGAGCACGUCAUAACGAACAGGGAAGUCAGACCACUGUGGGCCACACCUGCCACUAACAAUGCCACACUGUGUGUUAGCCGUGCUCAAAACGUUUGUUUAGAAAGAACGGAUUUCAGGGGCACCUGGGUGGCUCAGUCGGUUAAGCGUCCGACUUCGGCUCAGGCCGUGAUCUUGCAGUUUGUGAGUUUGAGCCCCGUGUCAAGCCCUGUGCUGACAGCUCAGAGCCUGGAGGCUGCUUCGGAUUCUGUGUGCCCCCCCCCCCCAAAAAAAUAAAUACUAAAAAAUUUUUUAAAAAAGAAUGUAUUUCACCACACGAACAGCAGCCAUAGCUGUGUUUGUUCAGAUCUCCUAUUUUUUUUCACCAUGGCUUUUGCUAAUUUUACAAUUUACAUAAUUUUACACAGUUUCUACAAUUCAGCUGUCCAUCAUUGAUUUGGUUCACCAUUUGCAGGGUUCUAAUUUUGUUGCAUUAAGUUAUGGUAGCCAGAGAAUAAAACUUAGGAAGUUUUUUAUAUAAAGCAAGGGUACAUGCUUAAGUAUCUUAGGUGAGAUGGCAGGCUAGCUCUGACUUGAAGUGUGGUCACCUAGAAGCCAGGAAUCGGCCAUGUUGCUGAUGGUAGGGUCACUACAUGCACAUUACAUCAGAUGGAAGGAGCAUCGGUUGUGGCCCGAGGUUCUAGUUCCUACUGGCUCUGGUACCUGCUUGGACUGCUUAGGCGCGGAUCUCUAUUGGAGGAGGUCUCCAAAAUCCUUUGCAGCUGGGGAAGGGCGAGGGGAGGAGUGCGUGAUUUUUGCGGACCCUCUGCUGCCCCCUUGUGGUACUCGGCCUCGGUGCAAAGCUGGAGCUUCAGGCUUUUUCCAGACAAGUCCGCCUCAGUGCCCGCCAGUUUGAUGGACGAGGAUUGUCCCUUCUGUGCAGCUGAACUUUGUGCUGUUGACCACUGGUUAAUUAAUAAAGGGGCACAGCGCGUAGCAUAAUGUAUAGAGAGACGUUAAAUCACCACAUUGUACACCUGAAACUAAUGUAACAUUGUGCAUCAACUACAGGCAAAUUAAAAAAAAAAAUUGGGGGAGGGGGCGCCUGGGUGGCUCAGUCGGUUAAACGUCUGACUUCGGCUCAGGUCAUGAUCUCACUGCUCGUGAGUUCGAGCCCCACAUCGGGCUCUGUGCUGACGGCUCGGAGCCUGGAGCCCGCUUCGGAUUCUGUGUCUCCCUCUCUCUCCGCCUUUCCCCUCCUCAUGCUCUGUCUCUCAAAGGUAAAAAGUUUUUAACUUAAAAAAAAAUGAAGAAACCCAGUGAAUGUGGGCCCCAGAAGUUUAAGAAGUUAUCAGGUAGUUAGAACCAAGAUCACGGCCGGUGGCUGGCAAGAAGCCGAUGUUGGAUACUCAUUUUAUAACAGUUCUUAUAAUAGCUGUCAGGGUGCGGGGGUGGGGGGGGUGGGGAGUGCUUAAUGCGUCUAUUUUGAGUGUGGAUACGAAGGUAAAGGAGGGCUCCACUAGCUUUUUGGAAGCAAGCCUUCAUGGCAAAGGCUGCCCAGAGGAUGCCCAUGUAAAUGCCAUCCCCUUAGAAUCUACCCUCGCGACGCUCUCUAGUCUGAAAAGAGUUUGCGCGCAUCUAGCUGUCCACGCAAGUAUUAGAAAUUUAUUUUGGGACAUAGACUUGAACUUGAUUUCUCCUCUCUGGGCCUGUGAGUUGUUGCUAAUUUGGGAACAUGGUGUUGUUCCCCCGGGUCAUGUUCCCUAAAUUAGCUUUCCUUUUACCUCAGUGAGUUACAUUUAUUUCUGUAGGUGUAAGUUGAGAAGAGAUGGGGAAGGCUUUUUCUCACUGAAAUGGAAGUGUUCCAUUCCAUUAGAAUUACGUGGUAUUUCUAAUCCUCGGGGGACUGGCAAAAAAACCUUCACUGCAGAUGAGAUUUUUUUAUUUUAUAGUAAUCAGGAAACCGUCUUCUGUCAUUUCUGCGUGCUUUCAGUCUGUUACCAACACUAGGCAGUCCCCAGUUGGAACACCAAAAGUAUACUUUAAAUUAGCUGCAUCUUAGUGUUCUGUGUGGUGGUUUGGGCCCCAGUGGGUCUUCCAAAGCCCACAGAUGGUUAAAAAUGACGAUGCUUUUGAGGAAAAUCAUCAGCACACAUCUAACUAAAAAUCUCUAAUUGCUUCUGGGCCACGGAAGCGUUCAGGGGGGCGGGGGGAGGGGAAGCAGUGUAGAAACUGAAAUCUUAAGCCUUCCAGGACAUUUUGAUGGUAUAUGAGACAAGGGGAAAAUAUAUUUGAAAUGUGAACUCCGCAAAUCUGGGGGACAUGGUCCCUGUCUGUAAAAUGCGUCCAUACUUUACGGUACUGUUAUUCUGGGGGUUCGUAUGGUAUUAAAGAGACACCAUUGCCUGUUAACAGCAGCGUGGCUGAAAGUCACGCAAUAACUCCAGGUCUAGAUAUCGCAGGGAGGGAAGCAAUAACCUUUUCUUGCAGCCAUCUCACACUCUCUGGCUGGGGUCCGAUAAAUGAGACUUGACAAAAGACAGAUGAGCCAGAGAAAAAGCCCAGCGAGCUGACCAAGGUGAUGAGGCGCUCGAAGGAACGGGAAGAACUUGGGUCGAUACAGCAUCUCGACAGAAGAACAGUAAAGUUUCUUAGUGAAGGCAAGACCAGGGCUGAAGGACGUGGGUCUUCUCUCGGGCAGCAGCAACGGCGUGCAAGGUCUGCCCUGUGGAUCCUCCGGGCGGAGUCUAAGGUGCUCUCCUGGCUCCCCUUCUGCUGUUCCAGGUAGAGAGGCGGGGCGACCUUGACAAAUUCACGUGCAGCUUGUGGGCAGGCGGGGAAGGGCAGAGCGCCUUUCUUGUGUCCGCCUCCCCUCGAUGGCCUUCACCUGACAUCAGACCUCUGUCAAGGUAGCCCAUCUCGGGUGGUGCAUUCUGCUGUCUCCACACCCCGAGUCUGCCUUGGGUCUUCUGGCCGGCGACCGGCAGGCGGGCAGAGCGUCCUUCAAGAUGUCGCCUCCCGUUUUCCUUUCACGUGACCUGUUAACCGGACCGUGAUAACAGGAACGUAUAUUCUCAGCUUUUACGGCCACUUGGGGAACGCUUUCACCCCUGGCCACUCCUGUCCCCCUCGGUUCUGAGAAAUCCCUUCUCUCCCACGUACAAAACUCCCUGGAUUCUGUUUUUCAUGUUUUUACCUUUGCUCUCAGUUUUCCAUCUCUGUCUUCUUCCACGGAGAGAUUUUUUUUUUUUUUCCAACUGAAUAUGUUGUGCUGUUUUCUUCUUUUUUUUUUUUUCCAACGUCUUUUUAUUUAUUUUUUUUGGGACAGAGAGAAACAGAGCACGAACGGGGGAGGGGCAGAGAGAGAGGGAGACACAGAAUCGGAAACAGGCUCCAGGCUCCGAGCCGUCAGCCCAGAGCCCGACGCGGGGCUCGAACUCACGGACCGCGAGAUCGUGACCUGGCUGAAGUCGGACGCUUAACCGACUGCGCCACCCAGGCGCCCCUGUUGUGCUGUUUUCAUGUUUACCGUGAAUUCAUUCACAAACGGCUUUCCUUUUAAGAUUCUCCGACCAGUGCUCGCUUCGGCAGCACAUAUACUAAGAUUCUCCGACUGCCUUUCCGUGCGUGGCCCAUUCUGUUCGCGGCGUGUGUCUGAGGUUGUGAAUACUCGUUUUUCUCCACAUUUGGAAUUCCCUACUUAGUGGGUGUUCCGUGCCCUGUUUUGUUUCAGUCUCUGGCUUUCCUGUGUAUUGGAGAGUUUCUUCAGAUGUCUGUUACCUUUCAUUUGUCCAUUCGCAUUGUAAGGGAAGCACCAGAGAUGCUGUUCCAGCCGCGCCCUUCACUCCUCUUGUUUUCUGCGGAUUUCAGUGCCAGACGGUCUGGGUCCUUUUCUCUUCCAGUGUCUGGGGUUCGGGAAGCCUUGGGUCUUCCUCUGCCGGGACGUGUGUUCAGCCUGGCAGCCGGCGUUGGGGGCUGUAAGGAGGCGAGGGGCCGGGGCAGGUGUGACGUCGCAUCUGUGUGCAUGUGCUUUCCUUAGUCCCUGUUUUCGUGCGAUGCCCCUGCUCUUAACGGCGCGGGUGCCCCCCUUCCGCGGAAGACACGUGCAGGCUCCCCAGCUGCGGGGAGAGGCGGGGGCAGCUUCCUAAAUGGUCUUCUAACCAGUCCUUCUAUCUUGAGUCCCGCCUCCCCCCCCCCCCCCCCCCCCCCCCCCCCCCCACUCCCCCCUUCCCCGCCCCCCAGCCGCCCUGAUCCUUCAAGGCACCUGUGCCAAUGAGCUUCUCACCCUCCUGGCUUCUCUUCCAGAAAUCACAUUGCUUCUCAUCCUUCCUUCCCAGGGGCUGGGGCUCUGCUUCCUUGGCUCUUCCCAUCUGUUCCCAGCCGGCCACCUGCCUCCCCGCCCCCUCGGCACUUCUCCGGCCACCCGCUUCUUCACCUACCCUCUCUGCUCUUCUCCUCGCCUUUCCUGUUCCUUCUUUUUGAAAAACCAGGAGAGCUUGAAGAGGCCCUGGAAACGAACGAAUGAUCACUCAGACGCCUAUCCUGAAAUGCGAUUCCUCUCUUGAUCGACUGGACUUCGUUUUCCAUCUCCCCUGCUAGACUGUAUGGAUGCUGGAGGACUGGAGCUUGGGGCUUUGAAAAAACCUGUCCGUUGCCUUUAAACCAAUACACCUUAGAUGUUUGCCCAUUUCUCUUCCUUUCACGAGCCCGUGUAGCUCUUGUUCUCCCCGCUUUCCUCCGGGGGCAUCCGCCGGGCACAGGCCCAGGGGAGACCCUGGGAUUUUCUUAUAACUUCUUUAAACACACCUGUCUGUUCUUUUUCUCCUCUUACUGUUGCAUUGAGGUUUCAACUUUCAUUUACCUCUUUUGUAUACUCACUUCACAGCCUCUUCAAACUUACUUUAUUUUCUCAAGGUCGUGGUUUGGCAAACUUCCUGUUUGUCACACCUGCCAAAUUUCUCCCUCAUGGUGGAUUAUUUCCUUGUGUGAUUUAUAAUUUUCAAUUCUCGUUCUUCCUCAGCUCAGAGCACUUCUUCCGUGGGAAUCCUGUGAACUCUUGCCUGCUGAAAGGGCUCGAAGGGGUUGUUCUGUGUUAACUUCUCGUGUGUGUAUUUGCAUCGAUUUCUUGGCUUGGGACCCACACCGCACAGGUCAUGCGAGUUCGAAGUCUGCAUCAUCGGGUACUAAUUUCACAGGCCCACUUUUUGUCGUCUUAGAGGGAUUCUUGUUUAGUUCAAGGGUCUUAGUUCAGUCUUAGUUCCAUUUGCCUGCCUGGAUCUGGCCUCAGGCCGUGUCGUCUGCCCACGCUUGGGUCUGGAAACCCCAGCCCCUGGCCGUUAGGGUCCAAGGCUGGCAUCCCUCUGGGUAUCUUCCCUACCCACAUGAGCAUGGGUGUAGCCCCCGUCCUCUGCCUGUAGGGAAAGGCUGUCAGGUGGAGACACAGGCUGUGUCAUGGAAGGCCAUGGCGGAGGCUCAGGAAUGUGAACAUCGUCCAGGCAGCUGUAGGAGCCCCCAGAGGCCUCCAGCGUCCGGUGAGGAGAUCGCCCUGCACACCACAGAGGCCCGUCUGACGGCAGCAUGGCGGUGGCUGCCGUGGAGUUAGACUACAGGCAGAAACCAAAGCGGAAGCAAACAGAGGUAAGGAGAGGGGAGCCUUUCCCCGGCUUCUUGGUGCAGAUGCGACCACCGCGCACCUCAGCUGGACGUGAGAGCCGUGCAACUUGGAGACCCUGAUUAUUUCCCAGCAUGCCUUGAGUGCUGCUACAGGGGUCUGUAGGACCCCGGAUUAGGUCCGUAGGACCGCGGAUUAUCCAGAUGAAUAUUAAAUAUUCCUGCUGGGGUCGCCUGGGUGGUUCCCGUCGGUUAAGCGUCCGACUUCAGCUCAGGUCAUGAUCUCACAGUUCGUGAGUUCGAGCCCCGCGUCGGGUUCUGCGCUGUCAGCACAGACCCCGCUUUGGAUCCUCUUCCCCCCCAACCCCUCUCUGCCCCUUCCCCACUCGUGUGCUUUCUGUCUCCCUGUCUGUCUGUCUCUCUCUCAAAAAUAAUAAAUAAAUAAGUAAAUAAGUAAAUAAAUAAAGUCAGUAAGUAAGUAAGUAAAAUAGUCCUGCUGGUUUCAGACUUAGGCAGCUUAUCAGUUGGGUGGAACUGAUCAUCUUCAGAGUUUGGUAAUUGGGUUCUGACAGUGAAACCCCAGGGGGAAACUGCAGUGAUUAGCUGUCACGGGAGACCUGCAUGGUUUUCCUUCCUGAAAUGACAAUAGGGCAGGGUUUCAAACAGUCAGUAGAUAGCUGGAUGGACAGGCAUUGAAAGCCUGGAUGACAGAACAGUGGUAAUUCUGAUGGUUUGUCAUUGUUUUCUCUCUGGAAUGAUGGGAAAUCUCUGAGACCAGAACUUCUUUAUGCACUUAGGUUCGGAUCUGAGCUUUAUCUUUGUUGAUGGUUCUGCUCAUAUCCUGGGACCGUUCUGUUUUGGAAAUAGGAGGACUCGGGAACCUAGUUAUACACAGGAGGCAAAGAAUCCACUUAUUUGGAGAAAUCUGCAAGCCCGCUUCUGAUUUUGAAAGAAAGCUAACGUAGGAAGCAUGUAUUUUUAAUUUUACAGUGUAGCCUCCAUAUUUAAAAACAAUAUGCUUGAAGGAAAAACAACCCUUCUCUAAACAGAAGUAAUAUGUAUUUAUCAGAGAAAUUAGAAGAGAGUGAAAAAAAAUUAAGCAGAAACUUAGUUUACAAUUUCAACAUCCAAAGGUAACAGAAGCUGACAUACACCUUCUAGACUUCUUUUUUUUUAAUGUUUAUUUUUGAGAGAGAGAGAAAGAGAGAGAGAGAGACAAAGUAAAGUGUGAGCAGGGAAGGUGCAGAGAGAGAGAGGGAGACAAGAAUCAGAGGCAGGCUCCAGGUUCUGAGCUGUCAGCACAGAGCCCGACAUGGGGCUCGAACUCACAAACAGCGAGAUCAUGACCUGAGCCGAAGUCGGUCACUUAACCGACUGAGCCAGCCACGUGCCCCUCGACUUCCUUUCUGUGGAUAGUUGUGAUACAUGUAUGGUCACAAAAAUGGCUUCAUUGUCUUUUGUAACCUGUUUGACAAAUCUGCGUGUGUGUAUCACUACAGCUAUAGAAACAUCUUCCGGUCUUUAGCGGAGGCUUAAUUAGUAUUCUGUUGUAUGAUGCUAUAUUUAAUUCUCCCUGUAGAACUCUUAGGUGGUUUUUAAUUUUUGCCACAGUAAGUGAUUCUUUGAAUUUUCUGGCUGCUGAAUGUUUCUGUUCGGCCCUGGAAUUACUCACAUGAGCUCCUCUUGCUGGUGGUGGGGCUCCCCUGGAAAUGGAUGACACGCGUGUAUUUCAUACCAUCAGAGAACAGCCACAACCGUGGAACAGCGUAUCCAGUUGAUUUGGCCCGUUUCUUGUCAUGAUGUCACUGUCCUGCUCUUGUCAGCCAAGAAUCAUCUCCUUCCCUCUGGAGCACUGGGGACUGCAACACCAGAAUGGGUCCCUUUGGGAGGGGACGUUUAAAGGGAGGCUGUCGGUGGGUCGUUCUAGGGCAACUGCUGAGAAAGAACUCGUUUCCGAUCUGGUGAAAUCUAAGUAUCGGACUUCCUGAAAUAGACAAGGUGUGGAGGAGAGGGAAGGGUGUCCCCACCUGAGGCUCUCCUAGCAGCCUAACUGGGCCACAGGCCCUUUCUUCUCGUCUCCAAGCAAAAUCAGGCUGCGUGCACUUAGUUCAAGGAGCCUAAGGGGAGAUUUCGUUUGCCAGUCAGAGUUUGACACUGGAGUUUUGAACCGUGCGCGUAACAGCAAUCUACAGUAAAGGACGGUUUGAAGGUUAAGGCAUCCAAAGUGAUGUAAAAUUUCUUCUGCUCUAGACUGAAGUAAACAUGUAGGUCCUUCAGCAGAAGCGAUACAGUUGUUACCCUAACCAUUUUUUCCUUUGGAUAAGUACAGUUGUAAGAAUUUUGCCUCUGUAGGUUAGCUCUUUAUGUGUUAAAUAGCAAAAAAAACAAAAACAAAAACAACAACAACAACAACAAAAAAACAAACUAUAGCUGAUUAGAUUGGAGAAAAGCAUUCAGGAGUUCUCCACACUGAGUGAGAGAAUUGGACACCUGUCUCUUGAGUAUUGCAGAGGGCCUGCCUGCGCUGCUCUAAAAGGCCCAUUAGGUUACUGUUGCCUUUUAUGGAAAGUUCUAGGGAUGUAAAGACCUUUAUCUGGACUUGUAGUGUUUACAAAAAGGCAGUUCAUGUGUUUCAAGACUAUAAUGUUGAUUCUUAAUUAGUGUUGCUCUUUAACAAGGCACCCACAGGUAGGUUUUUGUCAAAAGUCUGAGCUAUUACACACUCACCAAAUUGUGGUCUCGCACAAUGUUGAUUAUUUGAGCUAGUAGAGCAAAAUCCGUAUAGAGCCCGUGUUACUUUUGCUUUUGCUUUUAAACAUUUGAUGCAGGAAGCAGAAAGAAUUUAGCUCACUAUAUGCUUAUAAGAUUAAUCAGGCAUGCACUACUUGCUACUGUGAUUUGCCAUGGUUAGCAUUCAGAAACAUCUGGAACUUUGCUGUACUUUCUUCACUGUCAGGGCAGCUAUGUUCGUUCAAUCUGGGGCCCACCAUGCCUUAAAAAAACUGUAAAAAAUCAAUUCAGGGGUACCUGGGUGGCUCAGUCGGUUGAGUGUCUGACUUUGGCUCAGGUCACGAUCUCAUGGUUCGUGGGUUCAAGCCCUGCGUCGGGCUCUGUGCUGAUAACUCAGAACCUGGAACCUGCUUCGGAUUCUGUGUCUCCUUCUCUUUCUGCCCCUCCCCUGCUUGCACUCUGCCUCUCUCUCUCUCUCUCUCUCUCUCUCAAAAGUAAAUAGACAUUAAAAUUUUUUUUUAAUUCAGUUCUUACUUUCAUGACACUUCCUUUAAUAAGUUCCUUGAAACUUUAAAGGUUAACUGACAUUCAGUAAAUAAUUUUUUUACAUUUUUAUGUAUUGCUUUAUGUUAUCCAAAGCACAGUCAUGCACACAUUCCUGAAACUAAUGCAGUAAGCAUAUGGAAUAAAUCAUUCCUCCGCAGGAAACUGAGGCCUUGGGAUUGGAGGAAAGUAGAGUAAUUAUUAGAACUCAGAUUUUCAGGGGCACCUGGGCGGCUCAGAUGGUUAAACGUCUGACUUCGUCUCAGGUCAUGAUCUCUCAGUUUGUGGGUUCGAGACCCAUGUCGGGCUCUAUGCUGACAGCUUGGAGCCUGGAGCCUGCUUCGGAUUCUGUGUCUCCCCCUCUCUCUGCCCCUCCCCCACUCGUUCUCUGUCUUCCUCUCUCUCAAAAAAAUGAAAAAACAUUAAACAAUUAAAAAGAACUUAGAUUUUCUGAGCAAUUGUUGUGCACUGCGUUAUGCAAUGUGUUUUAAUUUCUUGAAAACUUGUGUUCAUUGUUUAAUUCAUAUCGUAGCUUUUUGUGAACACAACGAUGUCUUAUUUCUCGACAAUACCAGACAAUAAGAUAAUAUAGUAGAUUCUUUUUGAGCAGAGAUAAACCACAUACUCAUAAAUGACUUAGUUCUUUUGUUUGGUUAAUGUUUUGUUUUCAUUACCAGGCUAAUUGCUUUAACUUAUUUGUGUGGUUGUAGAGAGCUGGCCUUGAUAAUGAAGUACAAAUAGUUUAUAGUGUGUUGUGGCACAUUAUCUGAUGGCUUUUAUAAUUUUAAAGCCUAAAAUAUCUACUGUAAGAAUGGGAGCCGGAUUGUGUUAGCAGAUUUCUUUUUCCUUUAGUCUGGGUCUGAGAGAAACCUGCUGGGUAUAGGAUCCGUGAUGAGUAGGAGGGGUUGUUCCUGCCCUCAGUCCUGUAGGACUCCAUGAUUUUGGUUUAUAGACUCUUAGCCUGCCCCUCACACGUGUUCACAUCCAUGAGGUCGUCGAGUACCUGCAGCGGGGGGCCCGGGACGCGUGUUGGGUUCCGUCUCGCUGCAGACUAGCUCUGCUCUUCUGCAGGAGAGUUUAGACGCGUCACCGCCGCCUGGACUCUGGUUUACUUCCGUGCGAAAAUUGCCCAUGAACGAGCGUCCCGGCACCUCUUCCCUCUCUCAUCUUCCAGUAUUUCGGGAUAUACCGAGUUUAUGUCCAGAUUUUAUUCUCUUUUUACUUUGGAAUUCUGAGUACCCAAUCUAAUGCGUUGAGCUCUGCAUUAUUUCUGAACAUUCUCCCCGUAAUGGAUUUGGGGCGACUUUUCUGGACGGGGGUAGUAGUUGUUUUCGGAGCUCAGCCCAACAUGCAGUCUUCUGGGUCUAGAUGGGAAAACACUUCUCAGAAACGCUGCACCCUAUCCUAUCCUGUCCUGUCCUGUCCUGUCCUGUCCUAUCCUAAAGUGCGCAUGUGGGGUGUCUGGGUGGCUCAGUCGGUUACGCAUGGGCUCAGCGUUGGCUCAGGUCAUGAUCUCAUGGCUUGUGGGUUUGAGCCCCGCACUAGGCUCUGUGUGGACAGCUCAGAGCCUGGAGUCUGCUUCGGAAUCUGCGUCUCCCUCUCUCUCUGCCCCGUCCCCACUCACACUCCGUCUCUCUCUCAAAAAUAAACAUUAAAAAAAAAAAAAGUGAGCGUGUGAGGCCAGCCACUUUGUCUCCCGCGGCUGGACCCUGGGGUGUCUGAGUAAGUCCUCACCUUUGAGCAGUGACCUUUGAGGUAUUGAGUAUGCCUGGCAGUUGCUUCCAUGGAAAUUUUCUUUUCCCCUUUUACGUGAUCUUAAAAUCGUCUGCAAGAAAAUAGCAUCUAGGCCUUUAUUUUCAAGCUUCAAAGCUUGCUUGAAAAACAAAGGUUUCUUUUCUGAGGAAAUUUGGAAGCCUGUUUGAACUCGUGUGUCAGAAUGAUUGGGCUUUAAAAAUGCCAUUUGGAGGUGGCAGCUUCAGUCCCUAUUUAUGAAAUGUCACCGGGGGCCCGGUCGGGUGUCAGAAAGCAAGCGGGACAUUACCAGAAGAACAAGACAUAUUUCUUGGCGUAAUCAGUAGCUUUCAUUCCUUUUCCCCCAUGAGGUCCUCAGAGCAGGAGCAGCCCCAGGGAAGGUGGGCAAGGUUGUUGUUAAUCCUAUUUUCCAGAGGAAACUGAGGCUCGGCGAGGGUUCAGGACUUUGUCAGGAAGGGAUGUAGCCAAGCAGGGGCCCGACUCCCGGCUCCCCGACUCACAUAGGCGGCCGUCUUUGUGGGCACACGAGCCGGUUCCAUCACGUGGUCGCAGGUAUCGGCACGGUCAGGAUUCGGGCAUGGGGAUGGGAUUGGGAAGGAUCUGGAGGACCAAGGGAAGAAGACCUUGGACUUGUUGGAGCGGAGUCGAUGGCGGGGUGUGCGCGCUGGGGGUGAGCGCCGGGACGGCCUCGGGGAGGGGACGGCGCCGUUGUCCUCUCACCAGGGGAGCCGUCGCUGCGUCUUGCUGCGUCUUGAGAGUUCCUGUGGCUGUCAAACUGCUGAUGGGACUCACUUUUGUGACAUCCGUGUUCCUCCAUCUGCGAGCGUGUCUGACGGCCUCUAUUGUCUCCUACCUUUGGCCGUUUUCCUGUUUUAAAGGUUAUUAAGCCUUAGGAGGAGAUUAUCAGACAAUUUCCUCAUCAGAAAGAAGUGAAAUCACGAGUUGGCAUGGUCUGGUCUCUGUGGUCCCCCGCGGGUUCCCCUCUGGCCGACUUCCCACCUCCGGCAGGGGAAAUGAGGAAGCCACACGAAAAGCCCUUUCAUUCCCUUGGGCCUGAACGUUCCACCAGGAUUUCUUCUCUAGAGUUCUUGUAGCCACUCCCACGUGCAGAAGGCCCCCUCGCCUGUUACUGUAACUCUGCCGGGGAGUAUCUGGCGAGUUCCCCUUUCCUGUAGGACCUUCCGGCAGGACUCCCAUGUGGCUUGUGUCUUCUCGUCACCGGGCAGGACUGGCGACGACUGACGCUCUUCUCUAGUGAUUUUCAAAUGGCCAGAGGUCCACUUUGGUUUCAUGUUUCCCUCUGAAGAAUGCCCACCGCAUCCUCCUUGGCCAUCCAGACGGUUUUCAAGCAGUUUGCAGCGUCAGUGGCAAUGUCCGUAGGUCUUACUUUCCACGACCCCGUCUACAUGCCGAUAGAUGUAAGGGGCAUGCCCUGAGGUACUGAGCAGAGGUCGAGUGAGCACCUCCCAGCCCUUGCAUGGUGAGUAUGUGGAUGUUCAAGACGGCAGCCCUCCCGCCCUCACUCGUGGUCUCCUGGGUGAAGUGCAGACAGACACUUGCCACAGGCCGGUGGAACAGCAACGUGGAUGCCCAGAAGAGAGAACACCCAAUGUUUUUGCAAGGUCUGGAAUGUCUUGAGCUGUGCUGCCAUUUGAUUGGUUGUUAUGGGGGUGGAGAAACUGGGAGUGGAUGGCUGUCCACCUUGAUUCCAGACUCUGAUUCAGGGUACGGUAGAGACGAGUUUGGACUUUGGAAUUGAAGACCUGAAUUUGGGUCCUGUUUGUGCCGUUACCAAUGUGCUCCUUGGGGGGUUGACAGGGAUCGCUGGGGAAGAAAAGUGGUGGGGAGCAAGCCUCAGUGAAGUCAGUUCGAGGAAUCGUGGUAACCCGGUUUUGGUCCCGGACGAUUUCCUGGAGCCUCUAACUCACGCACAGUCCCAACUGCCAACGCAUAGUGCUGGCCCUCGGAGAGGACGUGCACUUCCUAGACCUCAUUUGGAUGAUCUCUAAAGCGCAGAGCAUUUUGUCAGAUUAUGAUUCUACGAAGCAUACUCGGGAAACACGGUCAUGACUCAUUUCUAGCCAUUAAACCUAUUAAUCUGUGCACGUUUUUUUUUUUGUUUUGUUUUUGUUGUUGUUGUUUUGUAGUUAGCACCACAUUCACCUUUUGAGAAACAAAAGUUAGGCAGCUCUUGGACAGGGUGUUUCCAUGGUGAGGGAAAGUAGACAUUAGCUAUUGGAUAGGAUAGAAAAUUUGAGAAAGAGAAAAAAAGGAUAUGGGAUCUCCAGACCCCUUUUAGUGCUGCAAUUACAUACGACUUUUCAAGGGGAUACUUGACUGUUCGUUUCACAGAUGAAGGCGCUGUUGACUCAAAUUAUGCUUGGUCUUCCGCUGACCUCCGUUAUUUCGCUAACCACGAUCGUUUGUUCCAGAACGCGGUCUUUACUUCUCACGUGUUGUUUUGGAUUUUAAGUGAUUGUUACAACACUGAUACAUGCUGAUUAAAGAAAACCAGCUGAGAGAAGAGUAGAAAAUGACCCCACAUUUGGAAAACGGAUUCUUUGGUGUUUUUUUGCGUGUAGGACUCUGCAGUUGUUGGACCAGAUGCUCUCGAAGCUCAGCAUUUCUGUGAUUCCCUUGUGUCUCUGUGACGUUGCAGUGGCUUAUGUACGUUUGAAGACAUUUCUCCACCAGGUAGUUUGGUAGAUUCGGCCACUUCGCCGCGUUAUUUCAGAUUAUCUCAGAAAGUAGGUAGUAAGCACAGAGGGAAUCCCCAACCUAUACCGAGGCAUAUCCGGAGCACUGUUGGAUGCUGGCUUAGAAAACAUUGUUCGGUAUCUGUCCGGGUCUAAUCUAAUGCUCCUUCAGGAACGAUGGGCCAGGGAGACCCUGGACCAGGCCCUGCGGCCAGCUGCGCCCUCCCCGGCAGGUGGUUCUCCGGGUGCAGCCAGUUGCAACUUCCCCGGCAGGUGGUUCUCCAAGUGCGCGGGGCACCUUCCCCGGUAGCCUGUUCUCGGGGUGCACGCUCUGCCUUCCCCGGUAACCGGUUCUCGGGGCGUGCGCCGUGCCUUCCCCCGGUGGCCGGUUCUCGGGGCAUGCCCCCGGGGACUGACGUGCGGCCCCCUCCUGACUGUGUCUCUUGCCUCCGCAGAAGGAAGACCCCCGGUGCACCAUGAGGUGAGCGCGCUCGGGCGCCCAGAGCCCCGGAGAGCUGCGUGCG
RNAcentral lists this long non-coding RNA (33497 nucleotides) under Lynx pardinus (Iberian lynx). Lineage: Eukaryota; Metazoa; Chordata; Mammalia; Carnivora; Felidae. The record is from RNAcentral.